This 490-nucleotide ribosomal RNA is filed under the name uncultured bacterium. RNAcentral's name for it is "partial 16S ribosomal RNA". It matches the Rfam family "Bacterial small subunit ribosomal RNA", at positions 29 to 507 of the family's 1533-position model. The record is from RNAcentral.
AGUGAACGCUGGCGGUAGGCCUAACACAUGCAAGUCGAACGGCAGCACAGGAGAGCUUGCUCUCUAGGUGGCGAGUGGCGGACGGGUGAGGAAUACAUCGGAAUCUGCCCAGUCGGGGGGGAUAACGUAGGGAAACUUACGCUAAUACCGCAUACGACCUUCUGGUGAAAGAGGGGGAUCGCAAGACCUCUCGCGAUUGGAUGAGCCGAGGUCGGAGUAGCUAGUUAGCGGGGUAAUGGCCCACCAAGGCGACGAUCCGUAGCUGGUCUGAGAGGAUGAUCAGCCACACUGGAACUGAGACACGGUCCAGACUCCUACGGGAGGCAGCAGUGGGGAAUAUUGGACAAUGGGCGCAAGCCUGAUCCAGCCAUACCGCGUGGGUGAAGAAGGCCUUCGGGUUGUAAAGCCCUCUUGUUGGGAAAGAAAUCUUUCAGGCUAAUACCCUGGGAGGAUGACGGUACCCAAAGAAUAAGCACCGGCUAACUUCGUG